This 1383-nucleotide ribosomal RNA is filed under the name Lactobacillus sp. RNAcentral's name for it is "bacterial SSU rRNA". It matches the Rfam family "Bacterial small subunit ribosomal RNA", at positions 61 to 1411 of the family's 1533-position model. Lineage: Bacteria; Bacillati; Bacillota; Bacilli; Lactobacillales; Lactobacillaceae. The record is from RNAcentral.
GUCGAACGACUCUGGUAUUGAUUGGUGCUUGCAUCAUGAUUUACAUUUGAGUGAGUGGCGAACUGGUGAGUAACACGUGGGAAACCUGCCCAGAAGCGGGGGAUAACACCUGGAAACAGAUGCUAAUACCGCAUAACAACUUGGACCGCAUGGUCCGAGUUUGAAAGAUGGCUUCGGCUAUCACUUUUGGAUGGUCCCGCGGCGUAUUAGCUAGAUGGUGGGGUAACGGCUCACCAUGGCAAUGAUACGUAGCCGACCUGAGAGGGUAAUCGGCCACAUUGGGACUGAGACACGGCCCAAACUCCUACGGGAGGCAGCAGUAGGGAAUCUUCCACAAUGGACGAAAGUCUGAUGGAGCAACGCCGCGUGAGUGAAGAAGGGUUUCGGCUCGUAAAACUCUGUUGUUAAAGAAGAACAUAUCUGAGAGUAACUGUUCAGGUAUUGACGGUAUUUAACCAGAAAGCCACGGCUAACUACGUGCCAGCAGCCGCGGUAAUACGUAGGUGGCAAGCGUUGUCCGGAUUUAUUGGGCGUAAAGCGAGCGCAGGCGGUUUUUUAAGUCUGAUGUGAAAGCCUUCGGCUCAACCGAAGAAGUGCAUCGGAAACUGGGAAACUUGAGUGCAGAAGAGGACAGUGGAACUCCAUGUGUAGCGGUGAAAUGCGUAGAUAUAUGGAAGAACACCAGUGGCGAAGGCGGCUGUCUGGUCUGUAACUGACGCUGAGGCUCGAAAGUAUGGGUAGCAAACAGGAUUAGAUACCCUGGUAGUCCAUACCGUAAACGAUGAAUGCUAAGUGUUGGAGGGUUUCCGCCCUUCAGUGCUGCAGCUAACGCAUUAAGCAUUCCGCCUGGGGAGUACGGCCGCAAGGCUGAAACUCAAAGGAAUUGACGGGGGCCCGCACAAGCGGUGGAGCAUGUGGUUUAAUUCGAAGCUACGCGAAGAACCUUACCAGGUCUUGACAUACUAUGCAAAUCUAAGAGAUUAGACGUUCCCUUCGGGGACAUGGAUACAGGUGGUGCAUGGUUGUCGUCAGCUCGUGUCGUGAGAUGUUGGGUUAAGUCCCGCAACGAGCGCAACCCUUAUUAUCAGUUGCCAGCAUUAAGUUGGGCACUCUGGUGAGACUGCCGGUGACAAACCGGAGGAAGGUGGGGAUGACGUCAAAUCAUCAUGCCCCUUAUGACCUGGGCUACACACGUGCUACAAUGGAUGGUACAACGAGUUGCGAACUCGCGAGAGUAAGCUAAUCUCUUAAAGCCAUUCUCAGUUCGGAUUGUAGGCUGCAACUCGCCUACAUGAAGUCGGAAUCGCUAGUAAUCGCGGAUCAGCAUGCCGCGGUGAAUACGUUCCCGGGCCUUGUACACACCGCCCGUCACACCAUGAGAGU